UGCCUAUGAUGAGUUUGAAUGCACGUAUUAUCAGAUAUUUUUAUGAUGAUAUUACCUAAUUGUCACUACCUCUGAGGCA
Ricinus communis (castor bean) is the source of this 79-nucleotide non-coding RNA. NCBI's taxonomy places the organism in Eukaryota, Viridiplantae, Streptophyta, Magnoliopsida, Malpighiales, Euphorbiaceae. The record is from Rfam.